Molecule: ribosomal RNA, 253 nt
Filed under: uncultured bacterium
Lineage: Bacteria
Description: partial 16S ribosomal RNA
Rfam family: Bacterial small subunit ribosomal RNA
Source: RNAcentral
UACAGAGGGGGCAAGCGUUGUCCGGAGUUACUGGGCGUAAAGCGCACGCAGGCGGUUGUGCAAGUGGGAUGUGAAACCACCGUGCUUAACACGGUGACGCCAUGCCAAACUGCACGACUUGAGUGGUGGAGAGGUUGUUCGAAUUGCCGGUGUAGUGGUGAAAUGCGUAGAGAUCGGCAGGAAGACCAAGGGCGAAAGCAGACAACUGGCCACCAACUGACGCUCAGGCGCGAAAGCGUGGGGAGCGAACUGG